UACGGAGGGGGCAAGCGUUAUUCGGAAUUAUUGGGCGUAAAGGGCGCGUAGGCGGCUAGAUGUGUCAAAGGUGAAAUCCCUCGGCUCAACUGAGGAACUGCCUUUGAAACUGUCUGGCUUGAGGCCGGGAGAGGGUAGCGGAAUUCCCAGUGUAGCGGUGAAAUGCGUAGAUAUCGGGAGGAACACCAGUGGCGAAGGCGGUUGCCUGGGGCUUUGCUGACGCUGAUGCGCGAAAGCGUGGGGAGCGAUCCGG
This 253-nucleotide ribosomal RNA is filed under the name uncultured bacterium. Its description in RNAcentral is "partial 16S ribosomal RNA". It matches the Rfam family "Bacterial small subunit ribosomal RNA", at positions 524 to 776 of the family's 1533-position model. The record is from RNAcentral.